CGGGGUGUAGCUCAGUUUGGUGGAGCGCCUGCCUUGGGAGCAGGAGGCCGCACGUUCAAAUCGUGUCACCCCGACCA
This 77-nucleotide transfer RNA is filed under the name Heliobacterium chlorum. RNAcentral's name for it is "tRNA-Pro". It matches the Rfam family "tRNA". Rfam says of the family: Transfer RNA (tRNA) molecules are approximately 80 nucleotides in length. Their secondary structure includes four short double-helical elements and three loops (D, anti-codon, and T loops). The record is from RNAcentral. Lineage: Bacteria; Bacillati; Bacillota; Clostridia; Eubacteriales; Heliobacteriaceae. RNAcentral also lists the same sequence under 2 other names.